This 497-nucleotide ribosomal RNA is filed under the name uncultured bacterium. RNAcentral describes it as "partial 16S ribosomal RNA". It matches the Rfam family "Bacterial small subunit ribosomal RNA", at positions 28 to 507 of the family's 1533-position model. The record is from RNAcentral.
GAUGAACGCUGGCGGCGUGCCUAAUACAUGCAAGUCGAGCGAACGGACGAGAAGCUUGCUUUUCUGAUGUUAGCGGCGGACGGGUGAGUAACACGUGGAUAACCUACCUAUAAGACUGGGAUAACUUCGGGAAACCGGAGCUAAUACCGGAUAAUAUUUUGAACCGCAUGGUUCAAAAGUGAAAGACGGUCUUGCUGUCACUUAUAGAUGGAUCCGCGCUGCAUUAGCUAGUUGGUAAGGUAACGGCUUACCAAGGCAACGAUGCAUAGCAGACCUGAGAGGGUGAUCGGCCACACUGGAACUGAGACACGGUCCAGACUCCUACGGGAGGCAGCAGUAGGGAAUCUUCCGCAAUGGGCGAAAGCCUGACGGAGCAACGCCGCGUGAGUGAUGAAGGUCUUCGAAUCGUAAAACUCUGUUAUUAGGGAAGAACAUAUGUGUAAGUAACUGUGCACAUCUUGACGGUACCUAAUCAGAAAGCCACGGCUAAAUACGUG